RNAcentral lists this transfer RNA (79 nucleotides) under Desmophyllum pertusum. Its description in RNAcentral is "tRNA-Ala". It matches the Rfam family "tRNA". Rfam says of the family: Transfer RNA (tRNA) molecules are approximately 80 nucleotides in length. Their secondary structure includes four short double-helical elements and three loops (D, anti-codon, and T loops). Further hydrogen bonds mediate the characteristic L-shaped molecular structure. tRNAs have two regions of fundamental functional importance: the anti-codon, which is responsible for specific mRNA codon recognition, and the 3' end, to which the tRNAs corresponding amino acid is attached (by aminoacyl-tRNA synthetases). tRNAs cope with the degeneracy of the genetic code in two manners: having more than one tRNA (with a specific anti-codon) for a particular amino acid; and 'wobble' base-pairing, i.e. permitting non-standard base-pairing at the 3rd anti-codon position. The record is from RNAcentral. Lineage: Eukaryota; Metazoa; Cnidaria; Anthozoa; Scleractinia; Caryophylliidae.
UCCUCCAUAGCUCAGUGGUUAGAGCGUCCAACCGGCAUCUGGAUGGUCAUGGGCUCGAUUCCCGUUGGGGAUCUCAGAA